RNAcentral lists this ribosomal RNA (484 nucleotides) under uncultured bacterium. Its description in RNAcentral is "partial 16S ribosomal RNA". It matches the Rfam family "Bacterial small subunit ribosomal RNA", at positions 30 to 507 of the family's 1533-position model. The record is from RNAcentral.
AUUGAACGCUGGCGGCAGGCCUAACACAUGCAAGUCGAGCGGAUGAAGGGAGCUUGCUCCUGGAUUCAGCGGCGGACGGGUGAGUAAUGCCUAGGAAUCUGCCUGGUAGUGGGGGAUAACGUCCGGAAACGGGCGCUACUACCGCAUACGUCCUGAGGGAGCAAGUGGGGGAUCUUCGGACCUCACGCUAUCAGAUGAGCCUAGGUCGGAUUUGCUAGUUGGUGGGGUAAAGGCCUACCAAGGCGACGAUCCGUAACUGGACUGAGAGGAUGAUCAGUCACCUUGGAACGGGAACACGGUCCCGGCUCCUAAGGGAGGGAGCAGUGGGGAAUAUUAGGCAAUAGGGGAAAACCUGGUCCAACCAUGGCGCGUGUGAGGAAGAAGUCUUCGGAGUGGAAAGCACUUUAAGUGGGGAGGAAGGGCAGUAAGUUAAUACCUAGCUGUUUUGACGUUACCAACAGAAUAAGCACCGGCUAACUUCGUG